This 353-nucleotide unclassified non-coding RNA is filed under the name uncultured fungus. RNAcentral describes it as "sequence contains ITS1". The stretch from base 1 to 107 matches the Rfam family "5.8S ribosomal RNA", at positions 50 to 154 of the family's 154-position model. The record is from RNAcentral. Lineage: Eukaryota; Fungi.
GAAAUGCGAUACUUGGUGUGAAUUGCAGAAUCACGUGAACGAUCGAGUCUUUGAACGCAAGUUGCGCCCGAGGCCUUUGGGUUGAGGGCACGCCUGCCUGGGCGUCACGCGUAGCAUCGAAUCGCACCAACCGCCCUCCUGGGCAGGGUGGGGCUUCGGAGAUUGGCUCCUCGUGCACUCAAGCGCGGUGGGUUUAAGAGACGGCUGACGGCUUGGACGGCACGACGGGUGGACUUGGUGCCAACAGGAUGUCGUGUCGCCGGUCGUCGAAGAGCCGAAGACACCCGGUUCGGACGUGCAGAUGCACUUCCAAUCGGGAGGGCUCGCCACCUCGCAACGUGACCCCAGGUCAG